Molecule: ribosomal RNA, 424 nt
Filed under: Verrucomicrobiota bacterium
Lineage: Bacteria; Pseudomonadati; Verrucomicrobiota
Description: Verrucomicrobia bacterium partial 16S ribosomal RNA
Rfam family: Bacterial small subunit ribosomal RNA
Source: RNAcentral
UGAGGAAUAUUGGUCAAUGGGCGGUAGCCUGAACCAGCCAAGUAGCGUGCAGGAUGACGGCCCUAUGGGUUGUAAACUGUUUUUAUGCGGGGAUAAAGUCACCCACGUGUGGGUGUUUGCAGGUACCGCAUGAAUAAGGACCGGCUAAUUCCGUGCCAGCAGCCGCGGUAAUACGGAAGGUCCGGGCGUUAUCCGGAUUUAUUGGGUUUAAAGGGAGUGUAGGCGGCCUGUUAAGCGUGUUGUGAAAUGUAGAUGCUCAACAUCUGAACUGCAGCGCGAACUGGCUGGCUUGAGUACACGGAACGUGGGCGGAGUUCAUGGUGUAGCGGUGAAAUGCUUAGAUAUCAUGAGGAACUCCUAGUGCGAAGGCAGCUCACGGGAGUGUCACUGACGCUUAAGCUCGAAGGUGCGGGUAUCAAACAGG